This 664-nucleotide ribosomal RNA is filed under the name uncultured Vibrionaceae bacterium. Its description in RNAcentral is "bacterial SSU rRNA". It matches the Rfam family "Bacterial small subunit ribosomal RNA", at positions 28 to 671 of the family's 1533-position model. The record is from RNAcentral. Lineage: Bacteria; Pseudomonadati; Pseudomonadota; Gammaproteobacteria; Vibrionales; Vibrionaceae.
AUUGAACGCUGGCGGCAGGCCUAACACAUGCAAGUCGAGCGGAAACGAGUUGUUUGAACCUUCGGGGGACGACAACGGCGUCGAGCGGCGGACGGGUGAGUAAUGCCUGGGAAAUUGCCCUGAUGUGGGGGAUAACCAUUGGAAACGAUGGCUAAUACCGCAUAAUAGCUUCGGCUCAAAGAGGGGGACCUUCGGGCCUCUCGCGUCAGGAUAUGCCCAGGUGGGAUUAGCUAGUUGGUGAGGUAAGGGCUCACCAAGGCGACGAUCCCUAGCUGGUCUGAGAGGAUGAUCAGCCACACUGGAACUGAGACACGGUCCAGACUCCUACGGGAGGCAGCAGUGGGGAAUAUUGCACAAUGGGCGCAAGCCUGAUGCAGCCAUGCCGCGUGUAUGAAGAAGGCCUUCGGGUUGUAAAGUACUUUCAGCAGUGAGGAAGAUGGUGUGUUUAAUACGCGCAUCGUUUGACGUUAGCUGCAGAAGAAGCACCGGCUAACUCCGUGCCAGCAGCCGCGGUAAUACGGAGGGUGCGAGCGUUAAUCGGAAUUACUGGGCGUAAAGCGCAUGCAGGUGGUUUGUUAAGUCAGAUGUGAAAGCCCGGGGCUCAACCUCGGAAUAGCAUUUGAAACUGGCAGACUAGAGUACUGUAGAGGGGGGUAGAAUUUCA